GCAUUAAUGGGGUAGUGGUAACCUGGGUCGUUGCCAUGACUGGAAAUUCGACCCGCCGGGGGUUCGAUUCCCCCUUAAUGCA
Molecule: non-coding RNA, 82 nt
Organism: Mycena galopus ATCC 62051
Lineage: Eukaryota; Fungi; Basidiomycota; Agaricomycetes; Agaricales; Mycenaceae
Source: the annotation of a GenBank genome assembly